This 405-nucleotide unclassified non-coding RNA is filed under the name soil metagenome. RNAcentral's name for it is "partial contains 5.8S ribosomal RNA, internal transcribed spacer 2, and large subunit ribosomal RNA". The stretch from base 1 to 121 matches the Rfam family "5.8S ribosomal RNA", at positions 35 to 154 of the family's 154-position model. The record is from RNAcentral.
GAUGAAGAACGUAGCGAAAUGCGAUAAGUAAUGUGAAUUGCAGAAUUCAGUGAAUCAUCGAAUCUUUGAACGCACCUUGCGCCCUUUGGCCAUUCCGAAGGGCAUGCCUGUUUGAGUAUCAUGAACACCUCAACUCUUUAUGGUUUUCCAUGAUGAGCUUGGACUCUGGGGGUUUUGCUGGCUCACAGUCGGCUCCUCUAAAAUGAAUCAGCUUACCAGUGUUUGGUGGGUAUCAUGGGUGUGAUAACUAUCUACGCUUUUGGUUUUUCCACCAGGUAACCUUCAGCAGUGGAGGUUCGCUGGAGCUCAUAGAUGUCUCUCCUCAGUGAGGACAGCCCUUUGAAUGUUUGAUCUCAAAUCAGGUAGGACUACCCGCUGAACUUAAGCAUAUCAAUAAGCGGAGGA